This 254-nucleotide ribosomal RNA is filed under the name uncultured bacterium. RNAcentral's name for it is "partial 16S ribosomal RNA". It matches the Rfam family "Bacterial small subunit ribosomal RNA", at positions 524 to 776 of the family's 1533-position model. The record is from RNAcentral.
UACGGAGGAUCCAAGCGUUAUCCGGAAUCAUUGGGUUUAAAGGGUCCGUAGGCGGCCCAGUAAGUCAGUGGUGAAAUCUCCCCGCUCAACGGGGGAAACGGCCAUUGAUACUGCUGGGCUUGAAUUAUUGGGAAGUAACUAGAAUAUGUAGUGUAGCGGUGAAAUGCUUAGAGAUUACAUGGAAUACCGAUUGCGAAGGCAGGUUACUACCAAUACAUUGACGCUGAUGGACGAAAGCGUGGGUAGCGAACAGG